CUCAUUACAAGUGAAUGAAAUUGCAGCAUGAUUAAUGUAUACAAAAAAAAAAAAAUCUGUCAAUAAAUGUAUUUAACCAUUAAAAAUCUUACAAUGAGCAUAUGAUUGGAAAUUUAUUUAUGAGAAGUUAGACUAAAAAAGUGGUCGUAUUCUGAAUAUUCGCUCAGCUCACAGUAAAAGGAGAAAAACAUACACUGUUCAGUCUGAAGGUACCUGUUCAUGUAGGGGGACAUGUCUUAUAGCAGAUUCUCUCCUUGUGGUGAACUAGCAUGUUAAAAAGGAGCUCAGUGCAUUAUUGGUCUAGUUCUGUACAAAAUAUGUUAAUUACAUUGUAUUUAUAUCUGAGUAUCAUGUCCUCUUCCUGCACUUAACUUGCCACUGGAUCACAUAACAUCAAUCCAUCCACCCAUCUUCUCAAAAGUAAUAUACCGAGUUCCAAUGUUCAAUAUGUUCUGAUUUGACUCAAGCAAGAUAUAAAUACAUGUAAUAUGGUAUUGUCAAAUAGAAGUAUUAAUAAGUAUUAAAAACAUAAACCUUAUAGACCACACAAGAUGCAAUUCUGACAAUAAAUAUGACAUAAAGCCAGAAUAUUUAAAAAAAAAAAAGCUAAAGUAACUGUCGAAGAGCUGGAUCUAAAGCAAAACCACUUCAGGACAACAAAAAUCAGAGAAAUAAAAAAAAACAUAACGAAAACAUUAACAUGUCACGAUAUAGAAAAUGAAUGGAAAUGGGGUAAGUGUCAAAGAGAACAAUUAACCCACCCCAAAUAUACAAAACAACUAGGCAUCACUAUACAGAUAC
RNAcentral lists this long non-coding RNA (801 nucleotides) under Mytilus galloprovincialis (Mediterranean mussel). Lineage: Eukaryota; Metazoa; Mollusca; Bivalvia; Mytilida; Mytilidae. The record is from RNAcentral.